Molecule: unclassified non-coding RNA, 852 nt
Filed under: Hevea brasiliensis (rubber tree)
Lineage: Eukaryota; Viridiplantae; Streptophyta; Magnoliopsida; Malpighiales; Euphorbiaceae
Source: RNAcentral
CAGAGAACCAGAGGCUGGCUGCCACACAUAGCAACUUGAGACAGGAACUUGCUGCUGCACAGCAUGAGUUGCAGAUAUUACAUGCUCACAUAGGUGCUAUCAAGUCUGAAAGAGAACUACAUAUGAGGAGCCUUGUGGAUAAAAUUUCCAAGAUUGAAACAGAGCUGAAGGCUGCAGAGCCUGUUAGGUCGGAGUUGCAUCAGGCACGAACAGAAGCUGAGAACUUGGUUGUAGCAAGGCAGGAGCUUGUGUCGAAAGUGCAUCAUUUGACUCAGGAUCUUCAUAGGGCCCAUGCAGAUGUGCUAGCAGAUUCCUGUUCUGAUGUCGGAACUUGAAAGUCUCAGACAGGAAUAUCAGCGAUGCAGGGUUUCAUAUGACUAUGAAAAGAAAUUAUUCAGUGACCACCUGGAGUCACUUCAGGCCAUGGAGAAAAACUAUGUUACAAUGGCUAGGGAAGUGGAAAAGCUUCGUUUAGAACUUACUAACACAGCUAAUGCUGAUAUGAAAACUGUUGCUGGUGGGCCAUAUGGUGGUGCCACUGGGAACAAUGAGAAUGAGGCUUCUGGUCGGCCUGUUGGACAAAAUAUAUAUGAAGAUAGCUAUGGUGUUCCUCAUGGCCAGGGCCAUUCUGCCGUUCCUGGUAACUCUGGUGCUGGAGCUGGUGCUGCCAAUGCUAAUAUGGUAGCUAAUUCUGGUACUGGGACUCCUACUUAUGCCGGAGCUCCAUCUAGCUCCACAGCUCCAAAAUCUGCUUAUGAUGCAUCCAGAGUCCCUGGAUAUGAUUCAUCAAGAGGACCUGGAUAUGAUGUAUUGAGAGGAGCUGGUUAUGAUGCACAAAGGGGACACAAUUAU